CAAGAGAUGUUUUUCUGAAAAGUGUGACCACAGUAACAUAGCCUAUCUGUCCAGAGCAACAGUUGUGCAUAUUAAAGGGGAGUUAAGGAGGAAGCAGCUUCCAAAGAAUAUGUCUCUUAAUUUUGCCUGAGAGGUCCUCACUGUCUUUGAGGAAAGACAAAGAUAAACUGGUCAAGGCAGCCUGGAGGCAGAGACCCAGGCUGGCAGGUCAGAUGACAACAGCCAACCUCUAGUCAUAGGCAUCAUCAUCAUCAAAGUAGGAGUCACAAUCAAGGUUAUCUGACUCAUCAUAAAACAGAAAGUUGUCUUCAUCUAAGUCAUCGUCAUCAUCAUCGUCAUCAUCAUAGUCUUCCUGCCAGUGUGGUUCAUACUCCUCAUCUUCAACCUCACUGCCAUCUUCAUCUGUGUUGGGGGACUUGCACAAGAUGGCGUUUUUGGGCCCUAAAGAGGCAGGGGCCGAAGAAGGCACAUUUGAGAGUUUCACCUUAGUCUGAGCAGGAUCUGCCAAAGCUUCAAGCCCAAUACGGAAAUCCUGUGUGGAGUGCCA
RNAcentral lists this long non-coding RNA (547 nucleotides) under Gallus gallus (chicken). Lineage: Eukaryota; Metazoa; Chordata; Aves; Galliformes; Phasianidae. The record is from RNAcentral.